UAUAAAUAAGACCCAGUUCUUACACUAAUUUAACAAAAUCUUCAAUUCUCAUCUGCAAAUAUGAAGAAGAAUCUUUUCCUUUCCCUCCUCAUUUCCUCCCUCUUUUCCCUUUCCCUCUCAGAACUCUGCAACCACCAUGACAAGAAAGUUCUCCUCCAAAUCAAACAAGACUUUGGCAAUCCUUACCUUCUUGCUUCUUGGAAGGGAGACACUGAUUGCUGCACACAAUGGUACCAGGUCGAGUGUGACUCUACCACCCACCGUAUCAUUUCCCUCACCAUUUUUGCUGGUAAUCUUUCUGGAGAAAUUCCCCCUGCUGUUGGUGAUUUGCCUUAUCUCCAGACCCUUGUGUUCCAUAAGCUAACAAACGUUACAGGCCCCAUACAACCAGCCAUUGCCAAGCUCAAAAGCCUCAACUUUCUCAGGCUUAGUUGGCUAAGCCUCACUGGAUCAGUGCCUGACUUUCUUGGCCAACUCAAGAAUCUCACGUUCUUGGACCUGGCUUUUAACAGACUCUCUGGAUCAAUACCGAGUUCGCUUGCUUUACUGCCAAAUCUUGGUGCCCUGCACUUGGAUAGGAACAGGCUUACAGGCUCUAUCCCAGAAUCAUUCGGUGCAUUUCAAGGCAACGUACCUGGCCUUUACUUGUCUCAUAACCAACUUUCAGGUAAAAUCCCUGCAUCUUUGGGCAAUCUGGACUUCGGUGCCAUCGAUUUCUCUCGCAACAAGCUUGAAGGCGAUGCUUCUAUCCUGUUUGGGCCAAAUAAAACUACCCAAAUCGUAGAUCUUUCCAGGAAUUUGUUGGAAUUUGAUCUGUCAAAGGUGGCGUUUCAAAGCAGCCUAACAUCGUUGGACAUUAAUCACAACAAGAUCUACGGUAGCAUUCCCCAGCGGAUGACUCAACUCGAUCUGCAGUUCUUGAAUGUGAGUUACAACAGGCUUUGUGGGAAGAUUCCUGUGGGUGGUAAGUUGCAGAGCUUCGAUUACUCCACAUAUUUCCAUAACCGUUGCUUGUGCGGCGCUCCUCUUGAAAGCUGCAAGAAAGCCUAAGCAUUUUCUUCAUGUUAAUUAUGUAAAAGUUGUUGUUCACAUAACGACUGUAGCUUGCUUUUGAGAAUGUAUAGCUAGAUUUAGCUCAAGCAUAUUUGUGGAAUGACCUUGAAACUUAUCCUGAUUCAGGAUUUCAAGAAUGUUAAUUGUGCAAUAUUUUUAAUAAUAAGAGAAUCUAUGGAUUUCG
RNAcentral lists this unclassified non-coding RNA (1237 nucleotides) under Hevea brasiliensis (rubber tree). Lineage: Eukaryota; Viridiplantae; Streptophyta; Magnoliopsida; Malpighiales; Euphorbiaceae. The record is from RNAcentral.